AACGAACGCUGGCGGCAGGCCUAACACAUGCAAGUCGAGCGAGAUCUUCGGGUCUAGCGGCGGACGGGUGAGUAACGCGUGGGAAUAUGCCUCUUGGUACGGAAUAACCUCGGGAAACUGGGGGUAAUACCGUAUGUGCCCUUUGGGGGAAAGAUUUAUCGCCAUGAGAUUAGCCCGCGUUGGAUUAGGUAGUUGGUGGGGUAAUGGCCUACCAAGCCGACGAUCCAUAGCUGGUUUGAGAGGAUGAUCAGCCACACUGGGACUGAGACACGGCCCAGACUCCUACGGGAGGCAGCAGUGGGGAAUCUUAGACAAUGGGGGCAAGCCUGAUCCAGCCAUGCCGCGUGAGUGAUGAAGGCCUUAGGGUUGUAAAGCUCUUUCAGCUGGGAAGAUAAUGACGGUACCAGCAGAAGAAGCCCCGGCUAACUCCGUG
This 433-nucleotide ribosomal RNA is filed under the name uncultured bacterium. RNAcentral describes it as "partial 16S ribosomal RNA". It matches the Rfam family "Bacterial small subunit ribosomal RNA", at positions 29 to 507 of the family's 1533-position model. The record is from RNAcentral.